Long non-coding RNA from Heterocephalus glaber (naked mole-rat), 1223 nucleotides. Lineage: Eukaryota; Metazoa; Chordata; Mammalia; Rodentia; Bathyergidae. The record is from Ensembl.
AGCAGAGAAAGCUAUUAGACAUUAGAGCCCAUUAGAUAUGCAUCUCAGCCUUGGCCACCGGCAGAGCAGGCAGCGAGCAGAGUGCCAACUGCUAUUGAGGUCGCUGAUGAGACAUAGUGGCUGUGACCAGGAGACGACUCUGAGGGCACUGGGCCUUAGAGAACGACCAUAUCAACUGUGGCCGUAGAGCACCUUGAAGCCCACAGGUUACCUUCCCACUGGUUCUAGACUGGUGACUCCAGGCACGAUGUGAAAAGGAGCUGUGGGUCCCAUGGGCACCGAGGGAACCCAAGCCAUGAGGCUGUGACUCCCACAACCUGCUUAUCACUUCUCUCCAGGUCAGCCUGUGAUCCAAGAAGCCUGAACAUCAGAGAUGCUCUGCAUUGUGGAGAAACUACCUCUAGCUUUCUCGGGAUCAAAGGAAUUCCAUUAGCGAAGUGCAACUGACUUUUCUUACUGCGUUUAUUGUUUGAAAGCUGUGAACUGCACCAAGUCCUUGUGAUUAAACAAUGGCUGUUGUCCUUGACAUCUUUCCUCGUUGCAGAGCCCCAUAGCAUCACUGCUCGAAGAGUCCCUGAUCUGCUGAAACAAGAAGGACGUUCACGUAACACACACCUCGCCUGUGGUUGCCAGUCUAGUGGAGCCCAUCACGAGGGCAAAGAUGUUUCUCUGCUGCCAGGAGUAACCUGCUGUUUGCAUGCGAGCAUCACCUCUGGCGAAGAACUGGCCCCAAAGGAGGAGAGGGACCAGAAGGCUGAGAGCAGGUGACUCUGUCCAGGGAGCCACACCAGGCACCUUUUCAAAGCCUCACUUCCAGGCGCCUUUGCCCUCUGACCAGGAGCCAGGGCUCGGGGUAGAGGCCCCGUUCACAGCUGCUGAGCAGACUCUGUCAGGGAGGUUGCAUUUGUAGUCAAAUUGGCUUAAAAAGAAGAAAGACCUCAUAAAGGUGGCUGGAAAACAGUUGACCUAAAUUGCCUACCUGGAGUAUUUAAUGUUGCUCCAAGCCAGAUUCAAAAGCUGCUCACCACUUGCUGCCCAGAUUCUCCAUCUGGCCAGUUUAGAAUAAUAAUGGUGUAGGGGUGCUUAGGCAGUGCAGGGGGGACCUGGGAGGAAGGACUGAGUGCCGGGGAGCUGUGUCCCCCAAGAAUCACGGGAUAGUGGUGCCGCUCCCUCAUCCCUUGUGCCCUGUGUUUCAGGGUGCUGCAGAGGGUGCUGGAAUGCAG